Molecule: unclassified non-coding RNA, 575 nt
Filed under: Hevea brasiliensis (rubber tree)
Lineage: Eukaryota; Viridiplantae; Streptophyta; Magnoliopsida; Malpighiales; Euphorbiaceae
Source: RNAcentral
GGACGACCCACCUGACCUCUCAUCCAGUCUCUCCUCACAGCACAACACCUACCUCUCGUCCAGUCUCUCCCUCUCAUCUUUCGUUCCUCUCACCUCUCAUCUCUCUCAAAUCUCAAUCUAUCUCCAUUGUUAUUCUAUCUCCAUGGUGAUUCCACGGCUCCACCUUGUGUUGAAUCAAUGGAGACGCUGCUAUGUUGAAUCAAUGGACGAAGAUUAGAGAUGCUGAGUUUGUUGAAUAGAAGAUGGUUCUCAAAUCUAAACCCAUAUUAGAAAGCAAAGAUGGUAGAGAAGCAAGGGUUAGAGACAUGCAUGUCUCUAAAUCUGACGAAAAUGGCACUGCAAAAUGAAAUUGAUUAGUGCUUCUUGACCCUUUCAAUUGCAAUGUGGGUUUAGUGUAGGUUUGUUUAUUUUUAAUUGCAAUUAUUCCUUCUAAAUUUUUUAGACCUUCUCUUCUCUGUGAAUAUUUGAUUUUGAAAUUUUUAAUAUGUGAUAGUGAAAUUUUGAAAAUGGUUAAUAAAUAUUGAUACUUGAAAUAUGUGAUUUGUGAAGUGUUAAUGUUGAAAAUGAAGAGAUUG